UUAUCUUUUAUUUUUUUGCAAUUUUGCCCCUAUUUCCACCGUUCUUUGCGCUGGAUGUCCUUUUCAUCAUUUUUGACGAUUUUACCCUUCUAUUUAAAUAAAACAAAAAGAAAAGAAAAGAAAAAUAAAGAAGUAAUUGCAACAAUAGUCCCAAAUUUUUUAAAAAUUACUAAUUGGUUACAAAUAUAUACUUAAAUAUCAAAACUACCAAAAAAAAAAAAUACCCACCACCCUCUGUGAAUGGAGCCACUAGCAUCUAGCGGUCCAUAAUCAAACCACCACCCACCGCCGCAUAAAUCAUCAGAAACUGCUUCCUUUACGGGCAAGUUUAAGCCAUAAACACUUCCUCAUCAAUCAAUUACACAAACAGAUUCUAUAACCAUCCAAAACUUAGAAGAAACUCUUAACUAGUUUGAGAAACCAGUUUGUUUCUUCCAUCAAUUUCGGCGUUGGUAAUUGGUCCCAUUGUUGCGGACCACCCAUUCCGGCAUCCUCUCCUAAUGCUCCAACUAUUACAACAAUGGGUCCUCAUCAAUUUCAACAUAAUAUACCGAUUUCACCAUGCCCAAAUUUAGUAUUCCCAUUUUUUGGCAAAUGGGUUGUUCUGUGCUCUAACUUGUCUGUUCGGAUUACACGGGAUGUCUAAAAGAUGGUGAAAAUUGGUUUAAGAGACCAGUAUUUGGAGGGUGAAUUACAGGCAAGUGUAGCCCUCCAAGCUGAAUCAUAAAGCCUGCUAGGGAAAGAAAAUUGGAAAUCCUUUUGGGGAUUAUUCUUUUUUUACAAGUCGGUGGCUGGGGCAGAAAAUUGGAGAGACAUUGCGUGGUUGUUUUUGGGGACCGAAUUGAGGAUAUUACACGCACAAAAACAUAAAAGUACGGAGAGAAAAUGGCUGCUGUGGGAGACUGGGGGAGCUGUUGAAAAGAUGGGGAAAAGACGGAAUCACGUAGUUGCCGGCAACUGGCAAGAUAGAAACGUAAGUUUUACAUUGACAUAAAAAAGAAGAAGCUAAAUUACAGAAGUUUCAUCUAGGCUUUCAUCUUUUCCGGCUAUCUUUGCAGCCAAGCUAUCCGGUGACAUCCCAAGAAUUAACUGCUGGAGUUAUUUUGUGAGGGAGAGGGUGGCAGUGGGGUGGGGGUGAGGUGUGGGAAGAAGGUGAAUAUUUUUGGGGGUUAUUUGCACUUCUAAAAGUUUGGGCCUAUAGUUACAAUUUAUUUUUUUAUUUUUCUUUUCUUUUCUCUUUUGUUUUAUUUAAAUAUGAGGGCAUAUUGGUCAUUUUGCAUUGAAAAUUGGUAAAAAGGAUGUCCAAUGCAAAGAAAUGUGUAAAUAGGGGCAACA
RNAcentral lists this long non-coding RNA (1335 nucleotides) under Olea europaea subsp. europaea. Lineage: Eukaryota; Viridiplantae; Streptophyta; Magnoliopsida; Lamiales; Oleaceae. The record is from RNAcentral.